GUCUAGGCCUAUGUGACAACUUCCUCAUUUAGGUUUAGUCAUUUGUCAAAGUAUGGCGACUGUGCGUUUCACCCUCCCUAUUCUACUAACUCUACUCCAUCAUUCAGAGCCCAGUGCUGAGACCUCUGUGUUUGUGCAGAAGGGACAGGAUGUUCGUCUGAAUGUCCAGACAAAUGUCACACUGAAAGAUGUUGAUGUGAUAUUUUGGAAGUUUAACACAUCAGCCAAUGUUGUAAAGUACCCCCCAAAAGUUACCUUUGAAAGUUACCAAGGUAGGGCUGAAUUUAGUGAGGGAGACUUCUCUCUGCUACUGAAGAACCUCCAGGAAGGAGACAGUGGACUUUAUGAUGCAGUAGUGAAUGGUGAAAAAGACAGAAACGUUGCUAGAUACUUGAUAAAAGUCGAAGUGAGUUGUGCCUCCAGUCCUGACAGUGAACUGACUCCACCAUCAAUGACACCUGUACAUGCACACACAAUAAACUAGACGUCAUAUAAACUCCACUCCAGACCUGACUGCCCUUGACCAGCACAAAAACAUCCUGUGGUGUACUGCAUUAGCAUCGAAUAGCACCAGGAAUAUGCAACUUUUCAGGGAAGAUAAGGAACCAAGAUCACCUCCUCCCAGCUGCCCACUGCACUGAGGCUAGGAAACAAUGUCACCGCCGAUAAAUCCACUAUAAUUGAGAAUUUCAAUAAGCAUUUUUCUACGGCUGGCCAUGCUUUCCACCUGGCUACACCAGCCCUGUACCCCCCCCCCACAGCAACUUUCCCAAGCCGCCCCAUUUCUCCUUCACCCAAAUCCAGAUAGCCGAUGUUCUGAAAAAGCUGCAAAAUCUGGACCCCUACGAAUCAGCCGGGCUAGACAAUCUGGACCCUUUCUAAAAUUAUCCGCUGCAUUGGUUGCAACCCCUAUUACUAGCCUGUUCAACCUCUCUUUCAUAUCAUCUGAGAUCCCCAAAGAUUGGAAAGCUGCCACGGUCAUCCCCCUCUUCAAAGGGGGAGACACUCCAGACCCACACUGCAACAGACCUAUCUGUCAUACCCUGCCAUUCUAAGGCCUUCGAAAGCUAAGUUAACAAACAGAUCACCAACCAUUUUGAAUACCACCGUACUUUCUCCACCAUGAAAUCUGGUUUCCGAGCUGGUCACUGGUGCAACUCAGCCACACUCAAGGUCCUAAACCUGAUCAUAACCGCCAUCGAUAAGAGACAAUACUGUGCACCUGUAUUCAUCGACCUGGCCAAGGCUUUCGACUGUCAAUCACCACAUUCUUAUCGGCAGACUCAACAGCCUUGGUUUCUCAAAUGACUGCCUCGUCUGGUUCAUCAACUACUUCUCAGAGUUCAGUGUGUCAAAUCGGAGGGCCUGUUGUCCGGACCUCUGGCAGUCUCUAUGGGGGUACCACAGGGUUCAAUUCUCAGGCAGACUCUUUUCUCUAUUCAUCAAUGAUGUCGCGCUUGCUGCUGAUGAUUCUCUGAUCCACCUCUACGCAGACGACAUCAUUCUGUAUACUUCUGGCCCCUCUUUGGACACUGUUAACUAACCGCUAGAUGAGCUUCAAUGCCAUACAACUCUCCUUCCAUAGCCUCCAACUGCUCUUAAAUGCAAGUUAAACUAAAUGCAUACUCUUCAACCAAUCACUGCCUGCACCUGCCCGCCCAUCCAGCACCACUACUCUGGACGGUUCUGACUUAGAAUAUGUGGACAACUACAAAUACCUAGGUGUUUGACUAGAUUGUAAACUCUCCUUCCAGACUCACGUUAAGCAUCUCCAAUCCAAAAUGAAAUCUAGAAUCUGCUUCAAAAACAACAAAGCAUCCUUCACUCAUGCUGCCAAACAUACCCUCGUAAAAAAUGACCAUCCUACCGAUCCUUGACUUUGGCGACGUCAUUUACAAAAUAGCCUCCAUCGCUCUACUCAGCAAAUUGGAUGCAGUCUAUCACAGUGCCAUCCGUUUUGUAACCAAAACCCUAUAUACUACUCACCACCUCGACCUGUAUGCUUUCGUUGGCUGGCCCUCGCUUCAUAUUCGUUGCCAAACCCACUGGCUCCAGAUCAUCUACAAGACCCUGCUAGGUAAAGCCCCGCCUUAUUUCAGCUCACUGGUCACCACAUUUAUUUAUAAAGCCCUUCUUACAUCAGCUGAUAUCAAAGUGCUGUACAGAAACUCAGCCUAAAACCCCAAACAGCAAGCAAUGCAGGUGUAGAAGCAUGGUGGCUAGGAAAAACUCCCUGGAAAGGCCAAAACUUAGAGGAACCAGGCUACAAACUGUAUGUUUGUUUAAUCCAUGUCUAACUCUGUUUGUGCCGCACUGCUUUGCUUUAUCUUGGCCAGGUUGCAGUUGUAAAUUAGAACUUGUUCUCAACUGGUCUACCUGGUUAAAAAAAAAAGGUGAAAUAAAAAAUAUAUGCUUUGCUGAUUUUUAUAUUUUGUGGGAGGAAGCAGAGGAACUAUCGCGGGAGGAAGCGGACGACAACUCCGAUGUCAAAGUCUGGAUACCUGUCGGUGUCCUCAUCAUAGUUGGAUUAUUCGUCCUGAUUAGCAUUGUUCUUUGGCGAAAGAUAAAUUAAGGUGACGAAGAGGAAAUUAUAAACACAGAGUAUGCUACAUUCAAGACUCCAGGUAACAGUCAUGUAGGUGGUGAAGAGCAGGAAUCUCCAGGUCCAGCAUCACCCACCAUCUACAGUAUGGUGGGACUACCCCAACCCCAGCCUGUUAACCACCAGCCUUUGCCUGUGGACCUCCCCAUGGCCACCAUGACCUCCAUGCCUGAGAGUUUAUAUGCUGUGGUGGGGGAAAAGACUAGCCAACAAUAAUAAUGCAUUUUAACAUUAUUCUAGGCUGGGAUUAACUCCGAUUUUAUUAGAUUGCCCUUUGUUGGCUAAGCAUCUUUUAAAGCCAAUGUUCCUGCAUUCACUGAGACAGCUUUCACAAUAAAUGCUGCAUAUGCUAGCUAAAUCGGAAAUGAUCUGUAAAUGGUGCCUAGAUGCAGUGGGACCCGUCAUUCAGGGCAGGUGUUUGAGCCCAACAUUUUUAGCAAUGGGCUUGCCUGUUUUGCAUGUUAUUUUGGCAUUAGUACGUGUCACAUAUCAGUUUGCAAACAAUGUAAAAAAUAUAUAUAUAUCAUUGAGUUAAUAAAGCCGCUUACAAACAUGG
Molecule: long non-coding RNA, 3158 nt
Organism: Oncorhynchus nerka (sockeye salmon)
Lineage: Eukaryota; Metazoa; Chordata; Actinopteri; Salmoniformes; Salmonidae
Exons: 5
Source: RefSeq, a predicted model, not a curated record